RNAcentral lists this long non-coding RNA (1250 nucleotides) under Homo sapiens (human). Its description in RNAcentral is "HSALNT0142357". Lineage: Eukaryota; Metazoa; Chordata; Mammalia; Primates; Hominidae. The record is from RNAcentral.
AGUUAGUGGCAUUCCAUCUGGUCUCAUUCAGUUGGUGAGAAGAGUCUUAUGGCUACCCCUAGAGAGAAAAUAGAAGAUAAAGUCCCUGACUGGACAUCUCCUCCCAGCAACAACUCCACACUAUGCAAAGCAGAAUACAAACUUUCAGUGGAUUGACAUUCAUCUCUACCAAAGAGCUCUUUUCUAAUUCACAUGAAGGUGAUUUCCUCCUUGCUAAAGCCCUGGAAAUCUAAAUUGGAAAGAAAGUUAGAAAUCUACUGUGACAUGCUACAAAUGCAGAUGUGCCACAAACACCACAGAAUGGUCAUCCAGCCAGUGCCAGAUCAUCAUGAGAAAGUUUUGUUAGAAAAGUUUUCCUUUCAUAGUCCCAGGUGAGCCAUCUGUUGCAACCCAGGAUCCAACCCCCAGUGUGACUGUAUUUGGAGACAGAGCCUUUAUGAAGGUAAUUAAAGUUAAAAGAGGUCACGGGGUGGAGCCCUGAUCCAAUAGAUUUAGCGUCCUUGUAAGAAGAGACACGAAAGAGCAAGCUCUCUCUCCAUCUUGUGAGGACACAGUGAGAAGGUGGCCAUCUGCAAACCAGAAGGCCAUGCAGCUGAUGAAGUUUGCUAACCUUGACUCGCCCAGUUCCCUGGAAGUGUGAAUCACUUUUAAAAGAAUUGUAGAUUUCCGUUUCCCUUAGGGGAUUAUAGCUAAAGCAUUGUCGGCAUACAGACUGUGUAUUCUUUUAGCAACCUUCUAUCAAGCCUGCAAAACUUGGAAAAAUGUGGAGAUAAUGCUGCCUCCGAGGAGGGAAUGCUGGAUCUAACACUAUUUUUGUUUGUUGUCUGUCUACUGUUCCUCUGAGGAAGGCAUGAAAUUAAGGAUCCCAUUGGAUAGAUCUUAUUAUGAUUCAUCUGGAAAGAGCCCUAGGAUUUUAAUGUCUGCCCGUUGCCCUCCCUGUUGUGUGAAAAAUGGUGGGAGCUAAUGAGCCCUUGAAUGACUCUGGCCAUCUCAGAACACUGAUGUAUUGGUUGUCUAAGAGCCUUCUUCCUACGUGUAGCAAUAAUGAAGCUACAUAAAUGGAAAGUCCUGAAACUUCGAAAUUCUUUUUCUGGAGAAGUAGCUUCACACAGCACAUUUAAAGCACAACUGAAUUUUUCUUUUCAUGGCUGCUUUUUUAACAUGGAAAAUUUAUAUUUUCUGUAAUACUGAUUCCUAAUUAAUAUCUUAGCACCAAGUUCAGCAUAUUAAAGGCAGGACUGGUAUAUAAA